RNAcentral lists this ribosomal RNA (1945 nucleotides) under human metagenome. RNAcentral's name for it is "bacterial LSU rRNA". It matches the Rfam family "Bacterial large subunit ribosomal RNA", at positions 1 to 1977 of the family's 2925-position model. The record is from RNAcentral.
GAAAGUAAACAAGGGCGCAUGGAGGAUGCCUAGGCUCUCGGAGGCGAAGAAGGACGUGAUAAGCUGCGAAAAGUUACGGUAAGGCGCAAAUAGCCCUAGACCCGUAAAUAUCCGAAUGGGGCAACCCGGCCAGCAAUGGCCAUACCGCCAAGCGGUAAGCCAACGCGGGGAACUGAAACAUCUAAGUACCCGCAGGAAAAGAAAAUAACAAUGAUUCCGCCAGUAGUGGCGAGCGAACGCGGAACAGCCCAAACCACCCGUGUUACGGCACGAGUGGGGUAGAAGGAUCCACGCUACGGCAAGAAAUAAGUUAGCAGAAUACGAUGGAAAUCGUAGCCAGAGACGGUGACAGCCCGGUACGCGAAAACGGACAGAAGCCCAGUGGACACCUGAGUAACCCAGGACACGAGAAAUCCGGGGCGAAUCAGCGGGGCCCAUCCCGUAAGGCUAAAUACUCCCGAGAGACCGAUAGCGAACCAGUACUGUGAAGGAAAGGUGAAAAGAACCUCGAACAGAGGAGUGAAACAGACCCUGAAACCAUGCGCCUACAAGCGGUCGGAGCAUGUUAAAAUGUGACGGCGUGCCUUUUGCAUAAUGAACCUACGAGUUACUCUCGCUGGCAAGGUUAAGCGAUUCAGUCGCGCAGCCGAAGCGAAAGCAAGUCCGAACAAGGCGUACAGUCAGCGGGAGUAGACGCGAAACCAAGUGAUCUACCCUUGGUCAGGUUGAAGGUUGGGUAACACCAACUGGAGGACCGCACCGAUAAGCGUUGAAAAGCUUACGGAUGAACUGAGGGUAGGAGUGAAAGGCCAAUCAAACUUGGAGAUAGCUCGUACUCCCCGAAAUGCAUUUAGGUGCAGCCUCGAAGUAAAGUGAUAGAGGUAGAGCGACUGAUAAGAUGCGAGGGCUUCACCGCCUAUCAAGUCUUGACAAACUCCGAAUGCGUGUCAGUUCUAUGUCAGGAGUGAGGGCAUGGGUGCUAAGGUCCAUGUCCUAAAGGAGAACAAUCCGGACCAACAGCUAAGGUCCCGAAAUGAAUACUAAGUUGAACUAACGAAGUCAGAUUGCUAAGACAGCUAGGAUGUUGGCUUGGAAGCAGCCAUUCAUUUAAAGAGUGCGUAACAGCUCACUAGUCGAGGAGUUUUGCAUGGAUAAUAAUCGGGCAUAAGCCCUUUACCGAAGCUGUGGAUGUCGUAAGACAUGGUAGGGGAGCAUUCCGGCGGCGACGAAGGCCGUCCUCGAGGACGACUGGAGCUUUCGGAAAAGCAAAUGUAGGUAUAAGUAACGAUAAAGGGGGCGUGAAACCCCCUCGCCAUAAGACUAAGGAUUCCUGAUCAACGCUAAUCGGAUCAGGGUAAGUCGGGCCCUAAGGCGCAGCCGAACGGCGUAGCCGAUGGAAGAAACGGUAAAGAUUCCGUUACUGGAUAUAGGAGCGAUGUGGAGACGGAGAAGUGACACACCCGCCUGCCGACGGAAGCGCAGGUUAAAGGAAGUAGGUAAACGCCGGGUAGGCAAAUCCGCCUGGCGUGCCGAAGCUGACAGUAUCGAGAGCCCCCGGGCAAUCGAAUAGCGGUGGUAAUCAGGCUCCCAAGAAAAUCCGCUAAGCAUAUUCUAUAUCCACCCGUACCCCAAACGGACACACGUAGUCGGGUAGAAUAUACCAAGGCGCUCGAAAGACUCACGGUUAAGGAACUAGGCAAAUUGACCCUGUAACCUCGGGAAAAAGGGUCCCCAGUAAGAUGGGGCGCAGAGAAUAGGUCCAGGCAACUGUUUAACAAAAACACAGGGCUGUGCAAAAUUUCAAGAUGAAGUAUACAGCCUGACACCUGCCCGGUGCCGGAAGGUUAAGAGGAGAGCUAAUCGCAAGAGAAGGCUUGAAUUGAAGCCCCGGUAAACGGCGGCCGUAACUAUAACGGUCCUAAGGUAGCGAAAUUCCUUGUCGGGU